AGAGUUUGAUCAUGGCUCAGAUUGAACGCUGGCGGCAGGCCUAACACAUGCAAGUCGAGCGGUAGCACAGAGAGCUUGCUCUCGGGUGACGAGCGGCGGACGGGUGAGUAAUGUCUGGGAAACUGCCUGAUGGAGGGGGAUAACUACUGGAAACGGUAGCUAAUACCGCAUAAUGUCGCAAGACCAAAGUGGGGGACCUUCGGGCCUCAUGCCAUCAGAUGUGCCCAGAUGGGAUUAGCUAGUAGGUGGGGUAACGGCUCACCUAGGCGACGAUCCCUAGCUGGUCUGAGAGGAUGACCAGCCACACUGGAACUGAGACACGGUCCAGACUCCUACGGGAGGCAGCAGUGGGGAAUAUUGCACAAUGGGCGCAAGCCUGAUGCAGCCAUGCCGCGUGUAUGAAGAAGGCCUUCGGGUUGUAAAGUACUUUCAGCGGGGAGGAAGGCGAUAAGGUUAAUAACCUUGUCGAUUGACGUUACCCGCAGAAGAAGCACCGGCUAACUCCGUGCCAGCAGCCGCGGUAAUACGGAGGGUGCAAGCGUUAAUCGGAAUUACUGGGCGUAAAGCGCACGCAGGCGGUCUGUCAAGUCGGAUGUGAAAUCCCCGGGCUCAACCUGGGAACUGCAUUCGAAACUGGCAGGCUAGAGUCUUGUAGAGGGGGGUAGAAUUCCAGGUGUAGCGGUGAAAUGCGUAGAGAUCUGGAGGAAUACCGGUGGCGAAGGCGGCCCCCUGGACAAAGACUGACGCUCAGGUGCGAAAGCGUGGGGAGCAAACAGGAUUAGAUACCCUGGUAGUCCACGCCGUAAACGAUGUCGAUUUGGAGGUUGUGCCCUUGAGGCGUGGCUUCCGGAGCUAACGCGUUAAAUCGACCGCCUGGGGAGUACGGCCGCAAGGUUAAAACUCAAAUGAAUUGACGGGGGCCCGCACAAGCGGUGGAGCAUGUGGUUUAAUUCGAUGCAACGCGAAGAACCUUACCUGGUCUUGACAUCCACAGAACUUAGCAGAGAUGCUUUGGUGCCUUCGGGAACUGUGAGACAGGUGCUGCAUGGCUGUCGUCAGCUCGUGUUGUGAAAUGUUGGGUUAAGUCCCGCAACGAGCGCAACCCUUAUCCUUUGUUGCCAGCGGUUCGGCCGGGAACUCAAAGGAGACUGCCAGUGAUAAACUGGAGGAAGGUGGGGAUGACGUCAAGUCAUCAUGGCCCUUACGACCAGGGCUACACACGUGCUACAAUGGCAUAUACAAAGAGAAGCGACCUCGCGAGAGCAAGCGGACCUCAUAAAGUAUGUCGUAGUCCGGAUUGGAGUCUGCAACUCGACUCCAUGAAGUCGGAAUCGCUAGUAAUCGUAGAUCAGAAUGCUACGGUGAAUACGUUCCCGGGCCUUGUACACACCGCCCGUCACACCAUGGGAGUGGGUUGCAAAAGAAGUAGGUAGCUUAACCUUCGGGAGGGCGCUUACCACUUUGUGAUUCAUGACUGGGGUGAAGUCGUAACAAGGUAACCGUAGGGGAACCUGCGGUUG
RNAcentral lists this ribosomal RNA (1520 nucleotides) under Klebsiella pneumoniae. Its description in RNAcentral is "bacterial SSU rRNA". It matches the Rfam family "Bacterial small subunit ribosomal RNA". Lineage: Bacteria; Pseudomonadati; Pseudomonadota; Gammaproteobacteria; Enterobacterales; Enterobacteriaceae. RNAcentral also lists the same sequence under 2 other names. The record is from RNAcentral.